UACGUAGGGUCCGAGCGUUGUCCGGAAUUACUGGGCGUAAAGAGUGUGUAGGCGGUGCUCUAAGUUCGGUGUGAAAUCUCCUGGCUCAACUGGGAGGGUGCGCCGGAAACUGGAGUGCUUGAGCGUGGGAGAGGAAAGCGGAAUUCCUGGUGUAGCGGUGAAAUGCGUAGAUAUCAGGAGGAACACCUGUGGUGUAGACGGCUUUCUGGACCAUAGCUGACGCUGAGACACGAAAGCGUGGGUAGCAAACAGG
Molecule: ribosomal RNA, 253 nt
Filed under: uncultured bacterium
Lineage: Bacteria
Description: partial 16S ribosomal RNA
Rfam family: Bacterial small subunit ribosomal RNA
Source: RNAcentral